UUUUAAAUAAUAAUAAUAUUUGAAAAAUACAAAAAAUAUAAAUUACAUUUUGACCCUAAAUUUUUCCCAAAAAUUUCACUUUAUCCCCAAAAGUUUUGCUACAUUUGUAAUUUGGUCCUUCUGGCAGCUGCCAGCGCGAUCUACGCACCUGCCCUCCGUGAUUUUCGGCCGCCGACCUAGGGCAUGGCCCCCUCCUCCCUAGCCACCUAAUCCCUGCAAUAAUCAGCAAUAAAAAUAACAAAUGAAGGCAAGAAAAAAAAGGAAUGAACUCAGAGCAAAAAUAAAAAAAAAGCGAAAAGAAAAAAAACUCAAGCAAAAACACCAAAAAACAGCAACCUCACCAUCAUUAUGCAUCGUCGUGCCGCCACCGUCAUCACCGCAAUCACCGCCAUCACCGUCGUACCUAAGCAAGUAAGCAAAACAAAACGAAAAAGGGGAGAAAAGAGAAGAAAGAAGAAAAAAGAAAGGAAGAGAAGGGAAAAGAAAAAAGGAGGAAAAAAGGAAGAAGAGAAGGAAGAAAAGAAGGAGAAGGGAAGAAGGGGACGCACCGGCGACCGUCGCACCGUCGACCAAGGAGACAGCGGUGACGGUGAAGGAGGUUAGGGUUUGAAAAGGAAGAAGAAAGAAGGAAAGAAAAAGAAGAAAAAAGAAAAAAGAAGAAAAAUAAAAAAAUAAAUAAACACAGUCGGGCCGACUCGACUCAACCCAAAAAACAGUAGUCCCCAGCAAAAUAGGCCGUUCCAGUAGGCCCAGACCUAGCCAAGCCCAACAGUCCCAGGCAGCCAGCUAGCAGGCCUGUCCAGCAAUGGCCCAACAGUACUAGGCAGCCUAAUCCAGCAGGCCUAGCAGCAGCCUAGGUCCUGCAGGCUAGGCCUGUCCCAGCGGCCUAGUCCAGAAAAGCAAAAAAAAGAAAAAAAAAAGUAGGCCAACAAAUCCAGUAGCCCUGCAGGCCCGUUCCAGCGCAGGCCCAACAGCAGGCCUGUCCAGUUCAAUCCCUGCGCCAGCCCAGCAGACUGCAGUAGCCCAACAGCAGGCCCAGUAGUGCCCAGCCCAGCAGCAAGCAGGCCAGUAGCAGCCAACCCA
Molecule: long non-coding RNA, 1083 nt
Filed under: Gossypium raimondii (Peruvian cotton)
Lineage: Eukaryota; Viridiplantae; Streptophyta; Magnoliopsida; Malvales; Malvaceae
Description: long non-coding RNA (GRAI_LNC007835)
Source: RNAcentral